RNAcentral lists this unclassified non-coding RNA (253 nucleotides) under uncultured Actinomycetes bacterium. RNAcentral describes it as "uncultured actinobacterium contains 16S-23S intergenic spacer region". It matches the Rfam family "Bacterial small subunit ribosomal RNA", at positions 524 to 776 of the family's 1533-position model. Lineage: Bacteria; Bacillati; Actinomycetota; Actinomycetes. The record is from RNAcentral.
UACGUAGGUGGCAAGCGUUGUCCGGAAUUAUUGGGCGUAAAGAGCUCGUAGGCGGCUUGUCGCGUCGACUGUGAAAACCCGUGGCCCAACUGCGGGCCUGCAGUCGAUACGGGCAGGCUAGAGUUCGGUAGGGGAGACUGGAAUUCCUGGUGUAGCGGUGAAAUGCGCAGAUAUCAGGAGGAACACCGGUGGCGAAGGCGGGUCUCCGGGCCGAUACUGACGCUGAGGAGCGAAAGCGUGGGGAGCGAACAGG